CCUACGGGUGGCAGCAGUGGGGAAUAUUGCACAAUGGGCGAAACCCUGAUGCAGCAACGCCGCGUGAAUGAAGACGGUUUUCGGAUUGUAAACUCCUGUUCUUAGUGAAGAAUAAUCACGGUAGCUAAGGUGCAAGCCUCGACUAACUACGUGCCAGCAGCCACGGGAAUACGUAGGUGGCAAGCGUUGUCCGGAAUUACUGGGUGGAAAGGGAGCGCAGGCGGGAAGUUAAGUCAGCUGUGAAAGCUACGGGCUUAACUUGUAGACUGCAGUUGAAACUGGUGUUCUUGAGUGAAGUAGAGGUUGGCGGAAUUACGAGUGUAGCGGUGAAAUGCGUAGAUAUUCGGAGGAACACCGGUGGCGAAGGCGGCCAACUGGGCUUUAACUGACGCUGAGGCUCGAAAGCGUGGGGAGCAAACAGGAUUAGAUACCCGAGUAGUC
This 441-nucleotide ribosomal RNA is filed under the name uncultured bacterium. RNAcentral describes it as "partial 16S ribosomal RNA". It matches the Rfam family "Bacterial small subunit ribosomal RNA", at positions 338 to 795 of the family's 1533-position model. The record is from RNAcentral.